RNAcentral lists this ribosomal RNA (886 nucleotides) under Russula laurocerasi. RNAcentral describes it as "eukaryotic LSU rRNA". It matches the Rfam family "Eukaryotic large subunit ribosomal RNA", at positions 82 to 943 of the family's 3401-position model. Lineage: Eukaryota; Fungi; Basidiomycota; Agaricomycetes; Russulales; Russulaceae. The record is from RNAcentral.
AGUAACUGCGAGUGAAGCGGGAAAAGCUCAAAUUUAAAAUCUGGUGGUCUUUGGCCAUCCGAGUUGUAAUUUAGAGAAGCGUCUUCCGCGCUGGACCAUGCACAAGUCUCCUGGAAUGGAGCGUCAUAGAGGGUGAGAAUCCCGUCUUUGGCAUGGAACCCCCAGGGCUUCUGUGAUGCGCUCUCAAAGAGUCGAGUUGUUUGGGAAUGCAGCUCAAAAUGGGUGGUGAACUCCAUCUAAAGCUAAAUAUUGGCGAGAGACCGAUAGCGAACAAGUACCGUGAGGGAAAGAUGAAAAGCACUUUGGAAAGAGAGUGAAACAGUACGUGAAAUUGUUGAAAGGGAAACGCUUGAAGUCAGUCGCGUCGACCGAGACUCAGCCUUGCCUUGGCUUGGUGUACUUCUCGGCCGAUGGGUCAGCAUCAAUUUUGACCCUUGGAUAAUGGCAAGGGAAAGGUAGCACCUUUACAGGUGUGUUAUAGUCCUCUGUCGCAUGCAAGGGUUGGGAUUGAGGAACUCAGCAUGCACCUUGUUGGUGUCGGGGCCUUGGCCUACGUUACGUGCUUAGGAUGCUGGCAUAAUGGCUUUAAACGACCCGUCUUGAAACACGGACCAAGGAGUCUAACAUGCACGCGAGUGUUCGGGUGGAAAACCCGUGCGCGUAAUGAAAGUAAAAGUUGGGACCUCUGUCGUGGAGGGCACCGACGCCCGGACCAGACCUUCUGUGACGGCUCUGCGGUAGAGCGUGUAUGUUGGGACCCGAAAGAUGGUGAACUAUGCCUGAAUAGGGUGAAGCCAGAGGAAACUCUGGUGGAGGCUCGUAGCGAUUCUGACGUGCAAAUCGAUCGUCAAAUUUGGGUAUAGGGGCGAAAGACUAAUCGAACCAU